CAAGGUGCUGCAUGGCUGUCGUCAGCUUCGUGUCGUGAGAUGUUGGGUUAAGUCCCGUACGAGCGCAACCCUUGUCCUUAGUUACCAGCACGUUAUGGUGGGCACUCUAAGGAGACUGCCGGUGACAAACCGGAGGAAGGUGGGGAUGACGUCAAGUCAUCAUGGCCCUUACGGCCUGGGCUACACACGUGCUACAAUGGUCGGGUACAAAGGGUUGCCAAGCCGCGAGGUGGAGCUAAUCCCAUAAAACCGAUCGUAGUCCGGAUCGCAGUCUGCAACUCGACUGCGUGAAGUCGGAAUCGCUAGUAAUCGUGAAUCAGAAUGUCACGGUGAAUACGUUCCCGGGCCUU
This 350-nucleotide ribosomal RNA is filed under the name uncultured Pseudomonas sp. RNAcentral describes it as "bacterial SSU rRNA". It matches the Rfam family "Bacterial small subunit ribosomal RNA", at positions 1034 to 1382 of the family's 1533-position model. The record is from RNAcentral. Lineage: Bacteria; Pseudomonadati; Pseudomonadota; Gammaproteobacteria; Pseudomonadales; Pseudomonadaceae.